AUUGAACGCUGGCGGCAGGCCUAACACAUGCAAGUCGAGCGGAUGAAGGGAGCUUGCUCCUGGAUUCAGCGGCGGACGGGUGAGUAAUGCCUAGGAAUCUGCCUGGUAGUGGGGGAUAACGUCCGGAAACGGGCGCUAAUACCGCAUACGUCCUGAGGGAGAAAGUGGGGGAUCUUCGGACCUCACGCUAUCAGAUGAGCCUAGGUCGGAUUAGCUAGUUGGUGGGGUAAAGGCCUACCAAGGCGACGAUCCGUAACUGGUCUGAGAGGAUGAUCAGUCACACUGGAACUGGGACACGGUCCAGACUCCUACGGGAGGCAGCAGUGGGGAAUAUUGGACAAUGGGCGAAAGCCUGAUCCAGCCAUGCCGCGUGUGUGAAGAAGGUCUUCGGAUUGUAAAGCACUUUAAGUUGGGAGGAAGGGCAGUAAGUUAAUACCUUGCUGUCUUGACGUUACCAACAGAAUAAGCACCGGCUAACUUCGUG
Molecule: ribosomal RNA, 484 nt
Filed under: uncultured bacterium
Lineage: Bacteria
Description: partial 16S ribosomal RNA
Rfam family: Bacterial small subunit ribosomal RNA
Source: RNAcentral